GAUGAACGCUGGCGGCGUGCCUAAUACAUGCAAGUCGAGCGAAUGGAUUAAGAGCUUGCUCUUAUGAAGUUAGCGGCGGACGGGUGAGUAACACGUGGGUAACCUGCCCAUAAGACUGGGAUAACUCCGGGAAACCGGGGCUAAUACCGGAUAACAUUUUGAACAGCAUGGUUCGAAAUUGAAAGGCGGCUUCGGCUGUCACUUAUGGAGGGACCCGCGUCGCAUUAGCUAGUUGGUGAGGUAACGGCUCACCAAGGCAACGAUGCGUGCCCGACCUGAGAGGGUGAUCGGCCACACUGGGACUGAGACACGGCCCAGACUCCUACGGGAGGCAGCAGUAGGGAAUCUUCCGAAAUGGACGAAAGUCUGACGGAGCAACGCCGCGUGAGUGAUGAAGGCUUUCGGGUCGUAAAACUCUGUUGUUAGGGAAGAACAAGUGCCAGUCGAAUAAGCUGGCACCUUGACGGUACCUAACCAGAAAGCCACGGCUAACUACGUGCCAGCAGCCGCAGUAA
This 515-nucleotide ribosomal RNA is filed under the name uncultured bacterium. Its description in RNAcentral is "partial 16S ribosomal RNA". It matches the Rfam family "Bacterial small subunit ribosomal RNA", at positions 28 to 523 of the family's 1533-position model. The record is from RNAcentral.